RNAcentral lists this ribosomal RNA (300 nucleotides) under uncultured Micrococcus MC7. RNAcentral's name for it is "bacterial SSU rRNA". It matches the Rfam family "Bacterial small subunit ribosomal RNA", at positions 38 to 335 of the family's 1533-position model. Lineage: Bacteria; Bacillati; Actinomycetota; Actinomycetes; Micrococcales; Micrococcaceae. The record is from RNAcentral.
GGCGGCGUGCUUAACACAUGCAAGUCGAAGAUGAUGGCCCAGCUYUGCUGGGCGGAUUAGUGGCGAACGGGUGAGUAAUACGUGAGUAACCUGCCCUUGACUCUGGGAUAAGCCUGGGAAACUGGGUCUAAUACUGGAUACUACCUCUUACCGCAUGGCUGGUGGUGGAAAGGGUUUUACUGGUUUUGGAUGGGCCCACGGCCUAUCAGCUUGUUGGUGGGGUAAUGGCUCACCAAGGCGACGACGGGUAGCCGGCCUGAGAGGGUGACCGGCCACACUGGGACUGAGACACGGCCCAGA